This 486-nucleotide ribosomal RNA is filed under the name uncultured bacterium. RNAcentral's name for it is "partial 16S ribosomal RNA". It matches the Rfam family "Bacterial small subunit ribosomal RNA", at positions 30 to 507 of the family's 1533-position model. The record is from RNAcentral.
AUUGAACGCUGGCGGCAUGCCUUACACAUGCAAGUCGAACGGCAGCACGGGUGCUUGCACCUGGUGGCGAGUGGCGAACGGGUGAGUAAUACAUCGGAACAUGUCCUGUAGUGGGGGAUAGCCCGGCGAAAGCCGGAUUAAUACCGCAUACGAUCUACGGAUGAAAGCGGGGGACCUUCGGGCCUCGCGCUAUAGGGUUGGCCGAUGGCUGAUUAGCUAGUUGGUGGGGUAAAGGCCUACCAAGGCGACGAUCAGUAGCUGGUCUGAGAGGACGACCAGCCACACUGGGACUGAGACACGGCCCAAACUCCUACGGGAGGCAGCAGUGGGGAAUUUUGGACAAUGGGCGAAAGCCUGAUCCAGCAAUGCCGCGUGUGUGAAGAAGGCCUUCGGGUUGUAAAGCACUUUUGUCCGGAAAGAAAUCCUUGGCCCUAAUACGGUCGGGGGAUGACGGUACCGGAAGAAUAAGCACCGGCUAACUACGUG